AUUUAAAUAGCUUAAGAAGAGUUUAAUAUUGAAGAUAUUAAGGUGAUUAUAUAAUCUUUAAAUA
Molecule: transfer RNA, 64 nt
Filed under: Sasakia funebris
Lineage: Eukaryota; Metazoa; Arthropoda; Insecta; Lepidoptera; Nymphalidae
Description: tRNA-Phe
Source: RNAcentral